AGGCAGCAGGCACGCAAAUUACCCACUCCCGGCACGGGGAGGUAGUGACAAAAAAUAACGAUACGGGACUCUUUUGAGGCCCCGUAAUCGGAAUGAGUACACUUUAAAUCCUUUAACAAGGAUCCAUUGAAGGGCAAGUCUGGUGCCAGCAGCCGCGGUAAUUCCAGCUUCAAUAGCGUAUAUUAAAGUUGUUGCGGUUAAAAAGCUCGUAGUUGGUUCUGCGUGCUACGCUGUCGGUUCGCCGCCUGCCGGUGUAACUGGCAUGCCGUGUCAUGUCCUGUCGGUGGCGUGCGGGCCCCUCGUCCAGGAGCCGGCUCUCGCCCUUAAAGCUUGAGUCCGGAGGCCGGAGGUCAAACCCGUGCGCCUGCUCUCUCCUACCUAGGUGCUCUUUACCGAGUGUCGAGGUAGGCCGACACGUUUACUUUGAACAAAUUAGAGUGCUCAAAGCAGGCUGAAAUCUCUGCCUGAAUAGUGGUGCAUGGAAUAAUAAAACAGGACCUUGGUUCUAUUUUGUUGGUUCUUAGGAACACAAGGUAAUGAUCAAUACGGACAGGCGGGGGCAUUCGUAUUGCGACGUUAGAGGUGAAAUCCACCAGGAGUGGAGCCUGCGGCUUAAUUAUGACUCAACACGGGAAACCUCACCAGGCCAGGACAUUGGAAGGAUUGACAGAUUGAUAGCUCUUUCUUGAUUCAGUGGGUAGUGGUGCAUGGCCGUUCUUAGUUGGUGGAUCGAUUUGUCUGGUUAAUUCCGAUAACGAACGAGACUCUAGCCUAUUAACUAGGCGUUUACCGGUGUCCCCGCCACCGGCGACAAUCAUUCUUCUUAAGGGGACAGGCGGCUUAUAGCCGCACGAGAUUGAGCAAUAACAGGUCUGUGAUGCCCUUAGAUGUCCUGGGCCGCACGCGCGCUACACUGAAGGAAUCAGCGUGUGCCUCCCUGGCCGAAAGGCCCGGGUAAUCCGCUGAACCUCCUGCGUGCUAGGAAUUGGGGCUUGCAAUUGUUCCCCAUGAACGAGGAAUUCCCAGUAAGCGCGAGUCAUAAGCUCGCGUUGAUUACGUCCCUGCCCUUUGUACACACCGCCCGUCGCUACUACCGAUUGAAUGAUUUAGUGAGGUCUUCGGACUGGCGGUAAUCCCUA
This 1139-nucleotide ribosomal RNA is filed under the name Dolichomiris linearis. RNAcentral describes it as "SSU rRNA". It matches the Rfam family "Eukaryotic small subunit ribosomal RNA", at positions 423 to 1730 of the family's 1831-position model. The record is from RNAcentral. Lineage: Eukaryota; Metazoa; Arthropoda; Insecta; Hemiptera; Miridae.